UUUUAGCAUGGUGGCACAUGCCUGUAGUUCCAGCUGCUCAGGAGGCUGAGGUGGGAGGAUCACUUGAGUCUGGGAGCUCUGGGCUGCUGGGCGCUGUGCCAAUCUGAUGUCUACACUAAGUUGGGCAUCAUUAUGGUGACUUCCCAGGAGAAGGGACCACCAGCAUUGCCUAAGGAGGGGUGAACCGGCCCGGGUCAGAAAUGGAGCAGGUCAAAAUUCCCGUGCUGAUCAAAUAUAGACAAGGUCAUAUAAUAUAGUAAUUUACUUGCCAUAUAUGAAUCCAUUCCUCC
Molecule: unclassified non-coding RNA, 290 nt
Organism: Fukomys damarensis (Damara mole-rat)
Lineage: Eukaryota; Metazoa; Chordata; Mammalia; Rodentia; Bathyergidae
Rfam family: Metazoan signal recognition particle RNA
About the family: The signal recognition particle (SRP) is a universally conserved ribonucleoprotein. It is involved in the co-translational targeting of proteins to membranes. The eukaryotic SRP consists of a 300-nucleotide 7S RNA and six proteins: SRPs 72, 68, 54, 19, 14, and 9.
Source: Ensembl